AUGAACGCUGGCGGCGUGGAUAAGGCAUGCAAGUCGAACGGACUUUAUUUUUCCCGAGAUGAGAUUAUAUCAAGUCAAAGGUCGUUUAAAGUUAGUGGCGAACGAGGUAGUAAUACGCAGGAACUUCCCCCAAAGUCGCGAAUAAUCUGGAGAAAUCCAGACUAAUACGCGAUGGUCUCGCAAGAGUAAAGAUUUUUCGCUUUGGGAAAGGCCUGUGCGGUAUCAGCUAGUUGGUAGUGUAAAAGACUACCAAGGCUAUGACGCCUAGGGGGAGUGAGAGCUUGGCCCCCACCGAUGGUACUGAGACACGGACCAUACACCUACGGGUGGCUGCAGUCGAGAAUCUUCCACAAUGGACGAAAGUCUGAUGGAGCGACGCCGCGUGAUUGAUGAAGUCCCUCUGGGACGUAAAGAUCUUUUAUGAGGGAAGAAGUUUAUUGACUGUACCUCAUGAAUAAGAGGCUCCUAAUCUCGU
RNAcentral lists this ribosomal RNA (475 nucleotides) under uncultured bacterium. RNAcentral's name for it is "bacterial SSU rRNA". It matches the Rfam family "Bacterial small subunit ribosomal RNA", at positions 29 to 506 of the family's 1533-position model. The record is from RNAcentral.